AUAAACCCGGGAAACUGGGUAUAAUACCCGAUAGGUCUCGAAUGCUGGAAUGCAUCGAGAUUUAAAGCUCCGGCGCCUAAGGAUGGGUCUGCGGCCUAUCAGGUAGUAGUGGGUGUAGCGUACCUACUAGCCUACGACGGGUACGGGUUGUGAGAGCAAGAGCCCGGAGAUGGAUUCUGAGACACGAAUCCAGGCCCUACGGGGUGCAGCAGGCGCGAAAACUUUACAAUGCUGGCAACAGCGAUAAGGGAACCUCGAGUGCCAGGUUACAAAUCUGGCUGUCGAGAUGCCUAAAAAGCAUUUCAUAGCAAGGGCCGGGCAAGACCGGUGCCAGCCGCCGCGGUAACACCGGCGGCUCGAGUGGUAACCGUUAUUAUUGGGUCUAAAGGGUCUGUAGCCGGCCGGAUAAGUCUCUUGAGAAAUCUGGCAGCUUAACUGUCAGGCUUUCAGGAGAUACUGUCUGGCUCGAGGCCGGGAGAGGUGAGAGGUACUUCAGGGGUAGGGGUGAAAUCUUGUAAUCCUUGAAGGACCACCAGUGGCGAAGGCGUCUCACCAGAACGGACCUGACGGCAAGGGACGAAAGCUAGGGGCACGAACCGGAUUAGAUACCCGGGUAGUCCUAGCCGUAAACGAUACUCGCUAGGUGUCGGCCACGGUGCGACCGUUGUCGGUGCCGUAGGGAAGCCGUGAAGCGAGCCACCUGGGAAGUACGGCCGCAAGGCUGAAACUUAAAGGAAUUGGCGGGGGAGCAC
RNAcentral lists this ribosomal RNA (752 nucleotides) under uncultured Methanotrichaceae archaeon. RNAcentral's name for it is "SSU rRNA". It matches the Rfam family "Archaeal small subunit ribosomal RNA", at positions 126 to 879 of the family's 1478-position model. The record is from RNAcentral. Lineage: Archaea; Methanobacteriati; Methanobacteriota; Methanomicrobia; Methanotrichales; Methanotrichaceae.